GACUAAAUCAUUGCAUACUGAAUACAUAGGUAUGUGAAGAAGACCUAGGGAAUUGAAACAUCUUAGUACCUAGAGGAAAAGAAAGAAAUAACGGUGUUAAAGUUAUUAGCUGAUCUUUGAUCAGUUACUGACUUUGAUACUUUCUAUUCCCUUAGUAGCGGCGAGCGAAAAGGGAGGAGUUCAAACUUUAUAUAAGAUAAACCAUCGCCGUUGUAUUACUUUCGGGUAAUGCAACAUGGUGGAGCAAUGUCCUCAAGACUAACGCUGUAUAGGGGGUUGUAAGAGAUUACGUUUGGAGCUUGAGUGAUCCGAAACAGAGUUUACACAGUUUAACUUUCCUAAUUGAAUGGUCUGGAAAGACCAGCCAUAGAAGGUGAUAGCCCUGUAAGUGAAAGGAGUUAUCGCUCUGUAGUAAUUUUCUUGAGUACUUCAGGACCCGUGAAAUCCUGGAGGAACCUGGCGCGACUAUGCGCUAAAACUAAAUAUCUUUGGUGAUCGAUAGUGAACAAGUACCGCGAGGGAAAGGUGAAAAGCACCCCGGUGAGGGGGAUGAAAUAGUAUUUGAAACCGUGUGUUUACAAAGAGUCAAAGAGCUAUACUUAAUUUCGAUUAAGAACGCUCAAUGGCGUGCCUAUUGAAGAAUGAGCCAACGAGUUUGUGUUUAGUUGCUUAAUUUAACUCUUACGAGAGGAAGGUAAAGUGAAAGCGAGGCUUAACAGGCCGAUGUUAACUUUUAAGUUAACUCUUGAUUUAUUAAGAGCUAGCUUAAAUUUUAACCAGCAGCAGAUACAAGACCCGAAGCCGGGCGACCUAACCAUGGCCAGGUUGAAGCCAGUGUAAAAACUGGUGGAGGACCGAACCCACUGAUCGUGCAACAUCAGGGGAUGAGCUGUGGCUAGCGGUGAAAUGCCAAUCGAGCUCGGCAAUAGCUGGUUCUCUCCGAAAUAGUUUUAGGACUAGCCUCCUUAUGGAGCCUGGGGGUAGAGCACUGGAUGAGAUGAAGUGCGAAAGCUUAUUCAUUUCAAUCAAACUCCGAAUACCAGGUACUCUUUAUAAGGGGAGUCAGACCGUGGGGGCUAAGCUUCACGUGUCAAAAGGGAAACAGCCCAGAUCCUCAUCUAAGGUCCCUAAAUAUUAGUUAAGUGUGAAAGGUGGUAUUAAUUCUCCGACAACUAGGAGGUUGGCUUAGAAGCAGCCAUCCUUUAAAGAUAGCGUAACAGCUCACUAGUCAAGAGUUUUUGUGCCGAAAAUUUAACGGGGCUAAACUAAUUACCGAAGAUAGGAAUCUUAAGUUUUUAACUUAAGGUGGUAGGAGAGCAUUUCUUGGUCACUGAAGCAGUACCGUAAGGAGCUGUGGAGAGCAAGGAAGAGAGAAUGUUGGCAUAAGUAGCAAAAAUUUGAGUGAAAACCUCAAACACCGAAAAUCCAAGGUUUCCUGGGCAACGUAAAUCGACCCAGGGUUAGGCGAUCCUAAGCCGAGGCUGAAAGGCGUAGGCGAUGGAUGAGCAGGUUAAUAUUCCUGCCCUACCAUUAAUUAUCGAUGGGGAGACGCCGGGACAGACUUUAAGCGUCAUCAUGGUUUAGACGUUGGCGAUCAGCGAUGCGAUUCUUAGGUAAAUCCGGGAAUCAUUAAGUGUCAAGAUUGUUAAGAGAUUGCGGCUUCGGCCAAAAUCAAUUUAGGGAAAGUACCGGACUAGAAAAACCUCUAAGAGUUAACAUUAAUGGUAAUCGUACCCCAAACCAACACAGGUGGAUAAGGCGAGAAGCCUAAGGUGUACGAGCUAACCUUCGUUAAGGAACUCGGCAAAACAGCGUGCGUAACUUCGGGAUAAGCACCGCCCUUGUUUUGCAAGGGCCGCAGCGAAAGAUUUCAAGCGACUGUUUAUCAAAAACAUAGGUCUCUGCUAAACCGUAAGGUGAUGUAUAGGGGCUGAUGCCUGGCCAGUGUCCGAACGUUAAGGGGAGAGGUGCAAGCCUUGAACCGAAGCGCGGAUGAACGCCGGCGGUAACUAUAACCGUCCUAAGGUAGCGAAAUUCCUUGCCGGGUAAGUUCCGGCCUGCACGAAUGGCAUAACGACUUGAAAACUGUCUCAACGAAGGACUCGGCGAAAUUGCAUGACGAGUAAAGAUGCUCGUUACCCAUAGCCGGACGAAAAGACCCCGUGAAGCUUUACUAUAACUUGGUAUUGGUUUAGGGUUGUACUUAUUCAGUAUAGGUGGGAGACUUUGAAGUCUAGACGUCAGUCUAGAUGGAGUCGCCAGUGAGAUACCACCUCCGUAUUAUUUUAAACCUAACAUCUUGCCUUGAAUCAGGCGGAUGAACAGUAUCUGGUGGGUAGUUUAACUGGGGCGGUUGCCUCCCAAAAUGUAACGGAGGCGUUUACAAAGGUUGACUAGUUCCCGAUGGAAACGGGAGCGAUAGUGCAAGCGCAUAAGUCAGCUUUACUGCAAGGGCGACAACCCGAGCAGUUGCGAAAGCAGAAGCUAGUGAUCCGACCGUACGAUAUAGGACGGCGGAAGCUCAACGGAUAAAAGUUACUCCGGGGAUAACAGGCUGAUAACGCCCAAGCGUCCACAGCGACGGCGUUGUUUGGCACCUCGAUGUCGGCUCAUCGCAUCCUGGGGGUGAAGAAGCUCCCAAGGGUUUGGCUGUUCGCCAAUUAAAGCGGUACGCGAGCUGGGUUCAGAACGUCGUGAGACAGUUCGGUCUCCUAUCCACUAUGGGCGUUGAAUUUUGAAGAGACUCUUCCCUAGUACGAGAGGACCGGGAAGGACGAACCUCUAGUGUACCAGUUGUCCUAUCAGGGGCAUCGCUGGGUAGCUACGUUCGGUUGUGAUAAGCGCUGAAAGCAUCUAAGCGCGAAGCCGACUCUAAGAUUAGAAUUCGUUUAAGAUCGGUCGGAGACUACGACCUUGAUAGGCUCUAGGUGUAAGUGCAGCAAUGCAUUAAGCCGAGGAGUACUAAUAGAUCAAGUAAUUACUAAA
This 2985-nucleotide ribosomal RNA is filed under the name marine metagenome. Its description in RNAcentral is "bacterial LSU rRNA". It matches the Rfam family "Bacterial large subunit ribosomal RNA". The record is from RNAcentral.